GCUGCGGCCAUGGUUGCGACUGUGACUGCGGCAGUUGCAACUGGGAAAGAAAAGAAAGGAAAGGGGGAAAAAGAGGCUGCAGACGGGAUUGCGGCAGCGACUGCGUAUGCAGCAAUUAUGUCUGCGAGAGAAGGGAGGAAGGAAGGUAGUGCGGUGGAAGGGGCGGCGAUUAUGGCAGCGGCAGCGGCAGCGGUAGCGGCUGUGAUAGCUGCGUUUGGGAAAGAAAAAGAAGGAAUGAGAGUAAGAGAGAGCAGGCGACUAUGCCUCGAUGUUUGACACAUGGUGUAGUUGCGAAGAAAGGAAGAAAACGGGAGCACAAAACGAAACAGAGAGAGGACACGGAGGAAAAGUAGAAGGAUUGGACUGACACCUUCCUUGGAUAUUCAGAUCAAAAUAUUUGAAAGGCAAGUUCCCUAAUCGUUUCUCCUAUAAUUGCUCUGAUAUUUCUUAUUGCAAGUUUCCCACUUGUUUCGAUCCUUUCUAUUGCAAAUGUUUCGAUCCUUUCUAUUGCAAGUUCCCUGAUCGUUUCUCCUAUAAUUGCUCUGAUAUUUCUUAUUGCAAGUUUCCCGAUCGUUCCUCCUGUAAUUGUUCUAAUCCUUCUUAUUGCAAGUAUCCUGAUCUUUCCUCACUGUCAUUUUUAUCUCUACAUUUGCUUUGAAUAUGAGGAACUUUGAAUUGUUCUAGCCUUGCAUUUGAUAUAUCUCUUGUUUAGACGUAACGAUUCGAAUCUGUGCAACUUCUGAGAUUCUGACCUUUUGAUACCGAGCUGCCUAUAAGUCCUUGUUGGAAACUCUGAUUUGUUCAAAACAGAUUCCAUUGGAAACUAGACUCGUAGAUCUUUCUUUUGAUAUAUGGAUUGAAAGAUUUGGAAUCCAAUCACCUGCCCAGUUAUCUGUUGAAUCUGACAUUAUGAAUUCUGGCAAACAGAGAUUUUGUUCUACGACCCUUGUUUACCAAAUUAUUUGUAACUCUCUCUGUUGGACAGUUCAAUUCAUAUGAAGCCUGUCUUAUCUGAAAGUAUUAUCCAAUGAUUAUUUCUGAGUAAAUUAGAGCACGAUUGAUAGUUUGAAUCAUUUGUUCAAUGUGCCUCUUGUAUUCUGCCAGAAAUCAAGCUUUGGUCGAUUUAUCAUAUUCUUGUUUCAUUCCUUUGGAAAUUGAUAUCCUUUAGCCUUCUUAUUCAAUUGAGCUUUAUAUUACUGCUUUGAAUUCUUGUAUGCUCUUGUCCUUAAAAUUAUUUGCAUUCUUGAAAACUAUUGUGUAACAUUUAAGCUAUAUCGUAUUGACUCCUAUAGGCACAUGUAUAACCCAUUGUUCCGCAUUUGCUUUCGAUGUGUGCCUAUUCUAGUUUCAUUCCUUUGGAUAUCGAAUUCAUCUAACCUUCUUAUUUGAAUUGAGUUAUAUAUGAUUGUUUGGAAUUCGUGUAUACUCUUGCUUUUAUUUCAUUCCAAAUCUGAAUACAUUUGUGAGAGAUUGUUGCUUGCAUCGUAUUUGACUCGUAAAGGCACAUGUACGUUUGUUGUUCCGCACGUGCUUCCGAUAUAUGCUACUUAUUGCUAAAACUGCCCUCUUGUACUCUGGUGGUUGUGGGACUGUCUGGACCUUUGCCAGAAAUGGUAAAGGGUAUGUGCUUAGAGCUUGCGAUGCUCUGCCGGCCCCCUCUGACUUCACCUAGACAUGGGUGGAUGGAGCUCCCAGACGUGGGAGACUUCUGUCUGGUGUUCAUUCAGAAAUGGAUGUAUCACGUUCUGUUCGAGGUCCCACUACACCUUCUAUAUGUUUGAUAUGAUAUCCAGAGCUUUGGUUAUGUGUUUCUAUACAUGCGUUGGAUAAGAAUGAUAUGAUUGCAACGUCAAGGACGACGUUUGAGCUUCUGUACGGUUUUUGUUUUUGAUAUGCUCUGAAAGUUCAUUCACUGUUGAUAUGCUUCGAAAUGUUCCAUAUGCCGUUGAUAUGCUACGGAACAUUUCACACGCCAUUGAUAAACUUCGUAAUGUUUCAUUCGUUACUGAUAUGCUCCAAUUACUCUGUGCUCCAUUUGCUAUGAACUGAUAUGUUCUGAAAUGUCCUAUCUGCCAUUGAUAUGCUCCAAUUACUCUGUGCUCCAUUUGUUAUGAAUCAAAUAUGUUUGAAUGACAUGAUACAUAUGAUUUUGUAUCUAAUGAGAUGGUAUCCUUGAGAAUUCUUGUAUUCUGCCUUGCAUAAUGAUACCUUACUUGUUUGAAACCAUUCCUUUUGUUCUGAAUAUGCUUUGUCACUUGCUGAGCUGUUUUUAGCUCAUUCCGUUGUUAUAUAAAUCUUUCAGGUCAGCUUGUCACCAUUUGAGAUGUUUAAUUUGGGCUGAGGCAGUGGAUAGCUAUUCAGAAUUAUGGGCAAGUCUUGUUGGUUGUUAUGCUAUUGUUGUAUAAGCAUAUUUUGUAUGUAAUGAAAUGUUGUUGAUGAAUCGAAAUGGAUAUACUGUGUAAAAGUGUUAGAAGAUCUC
This 2479-nucleotide long non-coding RNA is filed under the name Musa acuminata (dwarf banana). Its description in RNAcentral is "long non-coding RNA (MACU_LNC010061)". Lineage: Eukaryota; Viridiplantae; Streptophyta; Magnoliopsida; Zingiberales; Musaceae. The record is from RNAcentral.